Molecule: non-coding RNA, 75 nt
Organism: Podarcis lilfordi (Lilford's wall lizard)
Lineage: Eukaryota; Metazoa; Chordata; Lepidosauria; Squamata; Lacertidae
Source: the annotation of a GenBank genome assembly
CAGGAGAAGGACUUAGUGGGUGAGCUUCUACCUUGGGUGCAGAAGGUUCUGGGUUCAAUUCCUGGCAUCUCCUGG